ACAGCAGCACGAGGAAGAUUUUUGGUUUUGGACAUGGACACAGACAUUGCUGAAAGCACAGGAUGUGGCGCUUGGGGCAUCAUGGAGGCAGUGGGGCUGGUUGAUACAGUGGAACGCCGAUUCUGGGCCCGGAAAAAACAAGCAAAGAC
Chelonia mydas (Green sea turtle) is the source of this 149-nucleotide long non-coding RNA. RefSeq lists it as uncharacterized. NCBI's taxonomy places the organism in Eukaryota, Metazoa, Chordata, Testudines, Cheloniidae. The transcript is spliced from 4 exons. The record is from RefSeq and is a predicted model, not a curated record.